GCAAGUCGAGCGAGAAAGUUCUCUUCGGAGGACGAGUAAAGCGGCGAACGGGUGAGUAACACGUGGACAACCUACCUGGGAGCGGGGGAUAACAUGGGGAAACCCGUGCUAAUACCGCAUACGUCUCCGGAAUCUAGGUUCUGGAGGGAAAGCUGGCCUAUACAUGUAAGCUGGCACUCCCAGAGGGGUCCGCGUUCGAUUAGCUAGAUGGCGAGGUAACGGCUCACCAUGGCGACGAUCGAUAGCCGGCCUGAGAGGGCGAUC
This 264-nucleotide ribosomal RNA is filed under the name uncultured bacterium. RNAcentral's name for it is "partial 16S ribosomal RNA". It matches the Rfam family "Bacterial small subunit ribosomal RNA", at positions 57 to 305 of the family's 1533-position model. The record is from RNAcentral.